Molecule: ribosomal RNA, 254 nt
Filed under: uncultured bacterium
Lineage: Bacteria
Description: partial 16S ribosomal RNA
Rfam family: Bacterial small subunit ribosomal RNA
Source: RNAcentral
UACGGAGAGUGCAAGCGUUGUUCGGAAUUAUUGGGCGUAAAGCGCGUGUAGGCGGUUCAGCAAGUCCGGUGUGAAAGCCCAGGGCUCAACCCUGGAAGUGCACUGGAAACUGCUGAACUUGAGUACCGGAGGGGAAGGUGGAAUUCUCGAGUGUAGAGGUGAAAUUCGUAGAUAUUCGGAAGAACAUCAGUGGCGAAGGCGACCUUCUGGACGGAUACUGACGCUGAGACGCGAAAGCGUGGGUAGCAAACAGG